Molecule: long non-coding RNA, 537 nt
Filed under: Nicotiana tabacum (common tobacco)
Lineage: Eukaryota; Viridiplantae; Streptophyta; Magnoliopsida; Solanales; Solanaceae
Description: long non-coding RNA (NTAB_LNC019531)
Source: RNAcentral
UCCCUCAAAUUAUGCACAAAAUUCAAUUUUUGAACAAACCCCACUUCAGGUUUUCAGCACAAAAUAAACCCCACUUCAGAUUCAGCUGAAAAUUCAAUCUUGAUCAAACCCUCAAGAUAAAAUCUCUAGGCGUAUCGAUCCAUGCCAAAUUUGAAAACAAACCCACUAAUUACCUAUGUCUGUAUAGCCGUCUACCCAAGACUAUUUUUUGCACAUUUGCAGCUGAAAGAAUCAAGAAAAUGGUAACUCUAGAAUCUACACACCUUCAACAAGCGACCCUUUUCAGCUCUAGAAUCUACAAGUGGAGUCUAUGGGUUCUCAACUUCCCACUAAACUCCUCUUGAUUAUUGGGUAAUAGAAUAUUAGCAAUAGCUAUCGGGUUCCUUCCAAACCGAAUUGUCUAGCUCAACCCUUACUUCUUUAUCAUUAGUAUUAGUAAAGAUUGUUGUGUUUUCUCUCUUUUCUAAGGUUUUGGCUUUUUGUUCUCUCUUUCUAAUUGUUUCAUUCACAUCUUUAUUCAUUUGGCCAAAAUUUUCC